UUUGUCCUACGGGAGGCAGCAGUGGGGAAUAUUGCACAAUGGGCGCAAGCCUGAUGCAGCGACGCCGCGUGCGGGAUGGAGGCCUUCGGGUUGUAAACCGCUUUUGUUCAAGGGCAAGGCACGGUCUUUGGCCGUGUUGAGUGGAUUGUUCGAACAAGCACCGGCUAACUACGUGCCAGCAGCCGCGGUAAUACGUAGGGUGCAAGCGUUAUCCGGAUUUAUUUGGCGUAAAGGGCUCGCAGGCGGGUCGUCUC
RNAcentral lists this ribosomal RNA (254 nucleotides) under uncultured bacterium. Its description in RNAcentral is "partial 16S ribosomal RNA". It matches the Rfam family "Bacterial small subunit ribosomal RNA", at positions 333 to 586 of the family's 1533-position model. The record is from RNAcentral.